RNAcentral lists this ribosomal RNA (433 nucleotides) under uncultured bacterium. Its description in RNAcentral is "partial 16S ribosomal RNA". It matches the Rfam family "Bacterial small subunit ribosomal RNA", at positions 28 to 507 of the family's 1533-position model. The record is from RNAcentral.
GACGAACGCUGGCGGCAUGCCUAACACAUGCAAGUCGAACGAAACCUUCGGGUCUAGUGGCGCACGGGUGCGUGACACGUGGGAACCUGCCCUUAGGUUCGGAAUAACUCCCCGAAAGGGGUGCUAAUACCGGAUGGUGUCUUCGGGCCAAAGAUUUAUCGCCUUUGGGUGGGGCCGCGUUGGAUUCGCUGGUUGGUAGGGUAAAAGCCUACCAAGGCGACGAUCCAGAGCUGGUCGGAGAGGAUGAUCAGCCACACUGGGACUGAGACACGGCCCAGACUGCUACGGGAGGCAGCAGUGGGGAAUAUUGGACACUGGGCGAAAGCCUGAUCCAGCAAUGCCGCGUGAGUGAUGAAGGCCUUAGGGUUGUAAAGCUCUUUUACCCGGGAUGAUAAUGACAGUACCGGGAGAAUAAGCGCCGGCUAACUCCGUG